AUAAUAAGGCAGAACAGUUGAAACUAGAGCAGCAGCACAGUCAGGUGGAAGUUGAAACUGGAGCAGCAGCAUGGCCAGGUAGACUGGGGACAGCAAGGAGUCAUCAUGUCAGGUAGUCCUGGGGCAUGGUCCUAGGGCUCAGGUCAGUUGAAACUGGAACAGCAGCAUGGCCAGGUGGACUGGGGACAGCAAGGAGUCAUCAUGUCAGGUAGUCCUGGGGCAUGGUCCUAGGGCUCAGGUCCUCCGAGAGAGAGAAAGAAAGAGAGAAGGAGAGAAUUAGAGAACGCACACUUAGAUUCACACAGGACACCGAAUAGGACAGGAGAAGUACUCCAGAUAUAACAAACUGACCCCAGCCCCCCGACACAUAAACUACUAACCCUCCUAACCCUCCUAACACUUAUAACCCUCUUAACCUUCCUAACACAUCUAACCCUCUUAACCUUCCUUACCCUCCCAACACAUCUAAAUCUCCUUUCACAUCUUACCCUCCUAACCCUCUCAACACUCCUACCCCUCCUAACACGUAUAACCCUCCUAACCCUCCUAAUCCUCCUAACCCUCCUCACACUUAUAACCCUCCUAACACAUCUAACCCUCUUAACCCUCCUUACCCUCCCAACACAUCUAACCCUCUUAACCCUCCUUACCCUCCCAACACAUCUAAAUUUCCUAUCACAUCUAACCCUCCUAACCCUCUCAACACUCCUACCCCUCCUAACACGUAUAACCCUCCUAACCCUCCUAACACAUCUAACCCCCCUAACCCUCCUAACAUAUCUAACUCUCCUAACACAUCUAACCCUCCUAACCUGUCUAACCCUACUAACACUUAUAACCCUCCUAACAUAUCUUACCCUCCUAACACAUCUAACCUUCCUAACCCUCCCAACACAUCUAACCCUCCUAACACAUCUAACCCCCCUAACCCUCCUAACAUAUCUAACUCUCCUAACACAUCUAACCCUCCUAACCUGUCUAACCCUACUAACACUUAUAACCCUCCUAACAUAUCUUACCCUCCUAACACAUCUAACCUUCCUAACCCUCCCAACACAUCUAACCCUCCUAACACAUCUAACCCCCCUAACCCUCCUAACAUAUCUAACUCUCCUAACACAUCUAACCCUCCUAACCUGUCUAACCCUACUAACACUUAUAACCCUCCUAACAUAUCUUACCCUCCUAACACAUCUAACCCUCCUAACCCUCCGAACACAUCUAACCCUCCUAACUCAUCUAACCCUCCCAACACAUCUAACACAUCUAACCCUCCUAACAGAUCUAACCCUCCUAACCCUCCUAACACAUCUAACCCCCCUAACCCUCCCAACACAUCUAACCCUCCUAACCCUCCUAACACAUCUAACCCUCCAAACGCUCCUAACACAUCUAACGCUCCUAACACAUCUAACCCUCCUAACACAUCUAACCCUCCUAACACAUCUAACCCUCCUAACACUCUUAACCCUCCUAACACAUCUAACCCUCCUAACCCUCCUAACACAUCUAACCCUCCUAACACAUCUAACCCUCCUAACACAUCUAAACCUCCUAACACAUCUAACCUUCCUAACCUGUCUACAUCUCCUAUCACAUCUAACCCUCCUAACUCUCUCAACACUCCUAACCCUCCGAACACUUAUAACUCUCCUAACCCUCUCAACACUCCUAACCCUCUUAACCCUCCUAACACAUCUAACCCUCCUAACUCUCUCAACACUCCUAACCCUCCUAACCCUCCGAACACUUAUAACUCUCCUAACCCUCUCAACACUCCUAACCCUCUUAACCCUCCUAACACUUAUAACCCUCCUAACCGUCAUAAACCCUUCUAACCCUUCUAACACUCCUGACCCUCCUAACCCUCUCAACAGUCCUAACCCUCCUAACACAUCUAACCCUCCUAACCCUCUCAACACUCCUAACCCUCCUAACACAUCUAACCAUCCUAACACAUCUAACCAUCCUAACACAUCUAACCAUCCUAACCCUCUCAACACUCCUAACCAUCCUAACACAUCUAACCAUCCUAACACAUCUAACCAUCCUAACACAUCUAACCAUCCUAACACAUCUAACCAUCCUAACCCUCUCAACACUCCUAACCCUCCUAACACAUCUAACCAUCCUAACCCUCUCAACACUCCUAACCAUCCUAACACAUCUAACCAUCCUAACACAUCUAACCAUCCUAACACAUCUAACCAUCAUAACACAUCUAACCAUCCUAACCCUCUCAACACUCCUAACCCUCCUAACACAUCUAACCAUCCUAACCCUCUCAACACACCUAACCCUCCUAACACAUCUAACCCUCCUAACCCUCUCAACACUCCUAACCCUCCUAACACAUCUAACCCUCAUAACCUGUCUAACCCUACUAACACUUAUUACCCUCCUAACACAUCUAACCCUCCUAACACAUCUAACCCUCCUAACCCUUCUAACACAUCUAACCCUCCUAACCCUCAUAACCCUUCUAACCCUCCUAACACAUCUAACUCUCCUAACACAUCUAACCCUCCUAACCCCU
Molecule: long non-coding RNA, 2536 nt
Filed under: Oncorhynchus kisutch (coho salmon)
Lineage: Eukaryota; Metazoa; Chordata; Actinopteri; Salmoniformes; Salmonidae
Description: lncRNA (ENSOKIG00005001234.1)
Source: RNAcentral